Molecule: ribosomal RNA, 321 nt
Filed under: Triticum aestivum (bread wheat)
Lineage: Eukaryota; Viridiplantae; Streptophyta; Magnoliopsida; Poales; Poaceae
Description: partial small subunit ribosomal RNA
Source: RNAcentral
AUGGUGCCAGCGGCAUCAAAAAGUGGCAUGUCGUUGCAGUGUCCAAUGCUCACACGAAACAAUUAUGCUUCGUGGUCAUUGAGGAUGCGGGUGAUCCUGCAAGUACACAGUGUGUGGGACGCUGUCACCAAAGAUGAUGUAGACGAGCACAUGCAUAGACAGGCCAUUGCGGUCAUCUAUGAGGGUAUCCCCGAGGAUGUACUUCUAAUGAUGGCCGAGAAUGACUCGGCCAAGAAGACCUGGGAGGCUCUCAAGGUGAUACAUAUGGGCGCUGAGCGUGUCCAGGAGGCGAAACUUCAAACCCUGAAGAGUGAUUUCUAA